CAGCACCUCAAGUGGUCAGGAUGAUUAUUGGGCCUAAAGCAUCCGUAGCCGGCUCUGUAAGUUUUCGGUUAAAUCUGUAAGCUCAACGUACAGGCUGCCGGGAAUACUGCAGAGCUAGGGAGUGGGAGAGGUAGACGGUACUCGGUAGGAAGGGGUAAAAUCCUUUGAUCUAUUGAUGACCACCUGUGGCGAAGGCGGUCUACCAGAACACGUCCGACGGUGAGGGAUGAAAGCUGGGGGAGCAAACCGGAUUAGAUACCCGAGUAGUCC
This 270-nucleotide ribosomal RNA is filed under the name uncultured archaeon. RNAcentral's name for it is "partial 16S ribosomal RNA". It matches the Rfam family "Archaeal small subunit ribosomal RNA", at positions 477 to 747 of the family's 1478-position model. The record is from RNAcentral.